CCUACGGGAGGCAGCAGUGGGGAAUAUUGCACAAUGGGGGAAACCCUGAUGCAGCGACGCCGCGUGAGUGAAGAAGUAAUUCGUUAUGUAAAGCUCUAUCAGCAGGGAAGAAAAUGACGGUACUUGAGUAAGAAGCCCCGGCUAACUACGUGCCAGCAGCCGCGGUAAUACGUAGGGGGCAAGCGUUAUCCGGCUUUACUGGGUGUAAAGGGAGCGUAGACGGCAGUGCAAGUCUGGAGUGAAAGGCGGGGGCUCAACCCCCGGACUGCUCUGGAAACUGUACGGCUGGAGUGCAGGAGAGGUAAGUGGAAUUCCUAGUGUAGCGGUGAAAUGCGUAGAUAUUAGGAGGAACACCAGUGGCGAAGGUGGCUUACUGGACUGUAACUGACGUUGAGGCUCGAAAGCGUGGGGAGCAAACAGGAUUAGAUACCCCGGUAGUC
Molecule: ribosomal RNA, 440 nt
Filed under: uncultured bacterium
Lineage: Bacteria
Description: partial 16S ribosomal RNA
Rfam family: Bacterial small subunit ribosomal RNA
Source: RNAcentral